AGUGAACGCUGGCGGUAGGCCUAACACAUGCAAGUCGAACGGCAGCACAGUAAGAGCUUGCUCUUACGGGUGGCGAGUGGCGGACGGGUGAGGAAUACAUCGGAAUCUACUUUUUCGUGGGGGAUAACGUAGGGAAACUUACGCUAAUACCGCAUACGGCCUACGGGUGAAAGCAGGGGAUCUUCGGACCUUGCGCGAUUGAAUUAGCCGAUGUCGGAUUAGCUAGUUGGCGGGGUAAAGGCCCACCAAGGCGACGAUCCGUAGCUGGUCUGAGAGGAUGAUCAGCCACACUGGAACUGAGACACGGUCCAGACUCCUACGGGAGGCAGCAGUGGGGAAUAUUGGACAAUGGGCGCAAGCCUGAUCCAGCCAUACCGCGUGGGUGAAGAAGGCCUUCGGGUUGUAAAGCCCUUUUGUUGGGAAAGAAAAGCAGCAGGCUAAUACCCCGCUGUUCUGACGGUACCCAAAGAAUAAGCACCGGCUAACUUCGUG
RNAcentral lists this ribosomal RNA (492 nucleotides) under uncultured bacterium. Its description in RNAcentral is "partial 16S ribosomal RNA". It matches the Rfam family "Bacterial small subunit ribosomal RNA", at positions 29 to 507 of the family's 1533-position model. The record is from RNAcentral.